AAACUUGAAUGGACAUUUGCUAUUUUAUACCAGCAGCAAAACAAGUUCUUAACACCCCCUUUUUAUCCCUUUUGCUAGGGUUUUGGCCUCAAUCUCGGAGCGUCGCCGCACCACCAUCAGACUUGGUGGCCGAUCACGCGCAGAAAGGACACGAUGAGAGGUCGGAGGUAAGUGUUAUUCUCCUUUUAUUCUCUUUAUGCAAAAGAAAAGAAAGAAAGACUAAAAAACAUCCAGAAAAGAAAUGAGAUCCGAAGGCUAAAAGAAAAAUUGAAAUCGCAAAUCACCUUCUUUUUUAUCUGUUUUUUUUUUGUUUUUUUAUUUUUUUACUAAUAUCGAAUCCCCCCUUUUACAAUCUGUUUUGUGUGUCUUUAUAGCCAAAUACAUGUUACUAUUAUAUCACUAUUCGGCCUUGCUUCUGCUGUUGCAUUUUCAUUGUGUUUGCUUUUUUUUGGGUUACUUUGCAGGUCUGCUGGGAGUUAACGGGGGCAGGUUUCCGUUUUGGUGCAAGGAGCGAGUGAGAGCCGACCCUCGAGCGGAGUGCUCGUUGGGGACGCACAUGGAGGCUGCAGCACCUAGGGUUUCCUCUUCUUCUUUUGCUAAAUUUUUUUUUUAGAUUUUGGGCUACUUGAGCUUAGGGUUUUGUUGUAAUUUGGUUUGGGGUGGAUUUAAUCCAUUUGGGCUUUGUACUUUAGCCGGGGCCAAAAUUGGGUUGUACAAUAUGAAAAAUAUUUUUUAAGUAAAAUGAAUGCUAAACAAACAACUUUUGAAUGUAAUUUUUGACUUUUCAAAAGCACUUUUCUUCAAAAGGAGAAGUUAAAUUUUUUAACUUUUUUCUCUCAAAAGCAAUUUUGAUAGCUUAAUUACAUUUUCACUCCUUCAGCACAUAGUACUUUCCCUUCUCUAGUUAAUUGCUUAUGUAACGCCCCAAUUUUCGGAAAUUCUGUGAAUGUUGGCAUAAGUUUAAUUAUGUUAGUGGGCCUCUAGAAAGCCAAGCUUAAGAUAGAACCCGACAAUUUUAGUUAAUUUUUG
RNAcentral lists this long non-coding RNA (1029 nucleotides) under Gossypium barbadense (sea-island cotton). RNAcentral describes it as "long non-coding RNA (GBAR_LNC011093)". Lineage: Eukaryota; Viridiplantae; Streptophyta; Magnoliopsida; Malvales; Malvaceae. The record is from RNAcentral.